RNAcentral lists this ribosomal RNA (1705 nucleotides) under Syncephalastrum monosporum B8922. Its description in RNAcentral is "eukaryotic LSU rRNA". It matches the Rfam family "Eukaryotic large subunit ribosomal RNA", at positions 1688 to 3401 of the family's 3401-position model. Lineage: Eukaryota; Fungi; Mucoromycota; Mucoromycetes; Mucorales; Syncephalastraceae. The record is from RNAcentral.
AGUUUUCUUUUCUUUCUAACGUUCUGCUUGAUCGUGAACGCUGUUCAUCAGGAGCAACGAUUAAGCAUUCGGAAGAGCACAGUAUCUUUCUUGCUGUGUCCGGUGCAUUCGAAACAAUCCUUGAAAAUCCAAGGGAACUUUGAGCUUCUGGCUCAGUUUCAUGUCUGGUCGUUCCCAUAACCGCAGCAGGUCUCCAGGGUGAAGAGCCUCUAGUGAUGGAAUAAGGUGGAUAAGGGAAGUCAGCAAACUAGAUCCGUAACUUCGGGAUAAGGAUUGGCUUCAAGGGUUGGUCGGUCCUGUAGUUGGAGCUCUUGAACUCGGGGUCGUGGCGCAAGCCAGACAGGCCGGCAAUUAACAACCAACUUGGAACUGGUACGGACAAGGGGAAUCCGACUGUCUAAUUAAAACAUAGCAUUGCGAUGGUCAGAAACUGGUGUUGACGCAAUGUGAUUUCUGCCCAGUGCUUUGAAUGCCAAAGUGAAGAAAUUCAACCAAGCGCGGGUGAACGGCGGGAGUAACUAGGACCCCUUAAGGUAGCCAUGCCCGUCAUCUAGCUAAUGACGUGAGAAUGGAACAACGAGAUUCCCACUGUCCCUAUCCACCAUCCAGCGAAACCACAGCCAAGGGAAUGGUCUUGGCAUAUUCAGCGGGGAAAGAAGACCCUGUCGAGCUUGACUCUAGUCUGACAUUGUGAAGAGACGUGGAGAGUCACAGAAAUGAGGGAGACUGGGAUUCGUGGUUGCUCGCUCUGCGUUUGCUUGGUCGCCAGUGAGAUACCUCAACCUCUGCUGUUCUCUUCACUUAGAUUAUCAAGUGGGAGUGUCUGGACUUACGUUCAGUAUUCUAGCAUUAAGCCUUCCUGGAAGGCCACCCAAGUAAUUGACAUCGUCAGGUGGGGAGUUUGGCUGGGGCGGCACAUCUGUUAAACAAUAUAGCAGAUGUCCUAAGGGGGGCUCAACGAGAACAGGACUCUCGUGUAGAGUAAAAGGGCAAAAGCCUCCUUGAUUCUGAUUUUCAGCGUGAAUACGAACCCUGAAAGGGUGGCCUAUCGAUCCUUUAUGUCCUCAGGAUUUGAGGCUAGAGGUGCCGGAAAAGUUACCGCAGGGGCAACUGACUUGUGGCAACUGAGCGUACCAGCGACGUUGCUUUUUUGAUUCUUCGAUGUUCGGCUCUUCCUAUCAUACUGAAGCAGAAUUCAGUAAGCGUUGGAUUGUUCACCCACUAACAGGGAACGUGAGCUGGGAUAAGACCGUCGUGAGACAGGUCAGUUUUACCCUACUGAAGACGAUAUGUUGUCGUAACAGUAAUUGAAGUUAGUACGAGAGGAACCCUUUAUUCAGAUAAUUGGUUUAUGCGGCUGGUUGAGAGGCCAAUGCCGCGAAGCUACCAUCUGCUGGAUAACAGCUGAACACCUCUAAGCUGGAAUCCAUGCUGGUUGAUGCGACAAUUCAGCCUUCUUUCUGGGAUAGAAAGUAGCAAUAAGGAUGUCUCGGCAUACCUGAAAACUAUAAUUUUGAGCGGUUGCCUCCCUUCAUGGAAGAAUGUGAGGAGGCACUGUCUUUUGGAUACAAUGAAUCCUGUGAAGGCAGUAUUCGCGAGCAGACGACUCGAUUUGAGACGGGGUAUUGUAAGCGUUAGAGUGGCCUUUGUUGCUACGAUGUGCUGAGAUUAAGCCCUUGUCUAUUGAAUUUGCAUCUUUCUUAAU